GUUUAGAGAGGUGCACACAUUUUUUUUUUCCUCCACUCAUAAAGAAUCUCAGAAUUCUAGGGCUGGAAGAAAAUGUGGAAGAUUCCUCUCUUGGUGCUGAAGGCUUGAGUGGAAUUCGCAGAAGCCCAUUCCGGGAGCUCUAACUAGCUCUUUGCUGGCAAAUUUCCUGGAAAUUUAACCAUCAGCUCUUGUGAACUGGGACUAGCCAGCCCUGGCGUACCACUGGUGAUUGCGGAAGGCCUUGCUGAGAAAGGGACAUCUGAAUAGGAAACUGAAAGAGGUGCGGUGAGGGAGUAAGACCUGGGGACAUCUGGGGACCAGCACUCGCUUCCUGCCUGGGAAAAGCAGCAUCUCAGGCUGGUGUGUCCACACAUCCAUGCUCUUGUCCCUGCUGUCCCCUGAGCCUGGACAAUCUCUGUCCUCCUGAUAUGCUUAGUGACAGCCUUUAGGGCCAGACUCCCAGAUGACUGAUAGGGUAGAAUUCCUUAUUUCUCCCAGGCCUCCUUACUUCCUUUCUGGAAAAACAGGUGGAUAUGAA
Molecule: long non-coding RNA, 538 nt
Filed under: Pan troglodytes (chimpanzee)
Lineage: Eukaryota; Metazoa; Chordata; Mammalia; Primates; Hominidae
Description: long non-coding RNA NONPTRT000292
Source: RNAcentral